GAUGAACGCUAGCGACAGGCCUAACACAUGCAAGUCGAACGGCAGCGCGGGGGCAACCCUGGCGGCGAGUGGCGAACGGGUGAGUAAUGUAUCGGAACGUAUCCUGUAAUGGGGGAUAACCAGUCGAAAGAUUGGGUAAUACCGCAUACGCACGAGAGUGGAAAGUAGGGGAUCGCAAGACCUUACGUUAUAGGAGCGGCCGAUAUCUGAUUAGCUAGUUGGUGGGGUAAAGGCCUACCAAGGCGACGAUCCGUAGCUGGUCUGAGAGGAUGAUCAGCCACACUGGAACUGAGACACGGUCCAGACUCCUACGGGAGGCAGCAGUAGGAAAUAUUGGACAAUGGGCGCAAGCCUGAUCCAGCCAUGCCGCGUGAGUGAAGAAGGCCCUCGGGUUGUAAAGCUCUUUUGUCCGGAAAGAAAAGCGCCGGGUUAAUACCCUGGUGUCCUGACGGUACCGGAAGAAUAAGCACCGGCUAACUACGUGCCAGCAGCCGCGGUAAUGAGUAGUA
Molecule: ribosomal RNA, 509 nt
Filed under: uncultured bacterium
Lineage: Bacteria
Description: bacterial SSU rRNA
Rfam family: Bacterial small subunit ribosomal RNA
Source: RNAcentral